Ornithodoros turicata is the source of this 381-nucleotide long non-coding RNA. RefSeq lists it as uncharacterized. The record is from RefSeq and is a predicted model, not a curated record. Lineage: Eukaryota; Metazoa; Arthropoda; Arachnida; Ixodida; Argasidae. The transcript is spliced from 3 exons.
UUUUGUGCUUAUCGCGUUCGGAUGUGCGUUCGCGUUUCGUUAUCGAUCUGUUCACUGCACAGUGGCACGUCGCGCUUAGGGAAGUGGUCUUGGUUUGUGCUAAGGGACCUUAGGGAAGCCCAUCAGACAUGAAGCGCGGAAAAAGGAAGAACGCAAAAGGUGUUAUGUACCGCCACUACCCUGAGCCAAAAUCCGUCAACAACGACCCUGCACGUCGUCGCCAAUGUCCAUCUUCGAUGCUAACUUCAACGCGAUCUGUGAAGCUUCGUGGACUCAUCUUUCUCAAGCAAACUUCCUUGCCAAAAAUCUGACUGCGUCGUCAGUCAUGGUUAGCCUUGAUCCUUCCGUGAGCUUCACCAAUAUCUACACCCUAAGAAGAAA